UGGGGAAUAUUGCACAAUGGGGGGAAACCCUGAUGCAGCGACGCCGCGUGAAGGAAGAAGUAUCUCGGUAUGUAAACUUCUAUCAGCAGGGAAGAUAGUGACGGUACCUGACUAAGAAGCCCCGGCUAACUACGUGCC
Molecule: ribosomal RNA, 138 nt
Filed under: uncultured bacterium
Lineage: Bacteria
Description: partial 16S ribosomal RNA
Rfam family: Bacterial small subunit ribosomal RNA
Source: RNAcentral